Molecule: ribosomal RNA, 144 nt
Filed under: Ledella ultima
Lineage: Eukaryota; Metazoa; Mollusca; Bivalvia; Nuculanida sp.; Nuculanidae
Description: partial small subunit ribosomal RNA
Source: RNAcentral
UUUAAUUACCAUAUAUAAAAGUGAAAAUAUAAAAUAUAAAUUAAUUUUAGUUGGGGCAACUGGGAGGGAUAAAAAUCUUUUAUUAAAUCAUUUAUAGUAAUAUUUAUAUUUAUGAUCCAAAUUAGUUAAUUUUGAACUUAGAAU